This is a long non-coding RNA of Paramormyrops kingsleyae, 1775 nucleotides long. RefSeq lists it as uncharacterized. Lineage: Eukaryota; Metazoa; Chordata; Actinopteri; Osteoglossiformes; Mormyridae. The record is from RefSeq and is a predicted model, not a curated record.
ACAGACACUUUAGUCAAAGCGGUGCGAUUUUCUGUGGAGUAAAACGAGCACCGUGGUUUGGACGCGAGGGGAAACUGAGGUGGGAAGUUUGCCCACUUUGAUCUUCAGCCUUGGAGGAAAGACGCGCUGAUUCACGGACAUUACGAGAUGCGUGACGACGUUAAAUGUCAUUCAACUGCGCGCACCGCGGUAAGACAUGUGCGAAGCUGCAACGCCGGCCGGGCGCCGCCGCAUUGUCAUUUCUGAAGCAGCAUCGUCGCGGUGAACCUGACAAAGGACAUCCCUGAUGCGUGCCCUGCCUUCCUGGGAUGGAUUCCAGACUCCGCGUGACCCUGAACCAGAUAAGUGGAAGUCUCAGGACUGGAGCCCAUCCAUGGGACUUAGAGAUCGGAGGAUGAAUCAGAGGACCUUAUCUGGCAACCUCGUAUGAACAGGUGGCGGAGGCCGAGGGGCAAGUUACAUACAAACAAACACUUUGGUUUCUGAUUUAAAGGAGCAAAACCAGUAAAUCUCCAAGAACCUGAGCACCAUGCCUGAAUGGACUUCCUUUAUACAGCCAUCAACUAAACUCACAAAUAAGAUUAAGAAUACCUGUGUCAUCCCACAGUGUGGCACUCCAGUGACAAUGCAGAGAAAAAAAAGUUAAGAAAAUUGAUAAAAAGACGGUGUAUAAAAAUAUACAACUAUAUGAAUUUUAUAUCUAUACAUGAAACAAGUGAAUCCACCAAUGGCCUCUGUGAUUCAUGAAAAGUGCAGUAAAUGGUGCCUUUAAGCACAGAUCGGCCAUUGUGACAGUGACUUGCGCCUGAUUGGCUCGGACGGCCGACUUGCCAUCUGGGGGGGAUGGAGAGUCAGUGGGGCCAAGGCAGCUGCAAAGGGAGUGUCUGGCUGACCUCGAACGCGGAGGUCCCGACCAAACGGCGUCACGGCACCGGCUCCAAGUCACAGCACGGCAGUCUAAUCCAUGUAACAGCUUCACAUGUAACAGCUUCACAUGUAACAGCUUCACAUGUAACAGCUUCACAUACACACUUUGCUAAAGGCUCCUAUAUUUACCCCCAGGAUAUAUACAUGUAUCUGCUCUCAACAUAAUUAUUACCUCCUCUACAACAUUUACUAUAAACAAUACCUUUCUGAUUGAUAUUAAUGAUCUAUUAUUAAUUAUCCAGCAUGCUUUUUCAUACAACAUUCGUGAAAUAACUGGUGCACGUUUCCCCAUUUAUCUCCCUGCUUCAGCUGAGGUUUUGUUGCUGUUGUCUGGGGUCUCCUUGCAUUUUGAUCAUUAAAAAUACACUGAUAUUGAGAGAUAUUUGCAUGCGCACACACACACAGACACACACACACACAUAUACAUGCACGCACACACACACACACACGCGCACACACAUACAUGCACGCACACACACACACGCACGCACGCACACACAAAUCUAUCAGCUCUUGCUGCAGGCAGAUUUUAUCGCUCUUUAUUUCUCAAGCCUUCAGCUCCAUAAGACUUUUUGUUUCGUCUGAAUUAUACCUCAUGCAAUUGCAUCUGAAGGAAGGAAAAAUAAUCUAAAAAUAAUAAUAAUUUUAGAUUGUUUUGGAGGCCGAGAAGAGAAGCAGCUGAGAUCUUAUAGUAAUCUCAUUUGAAGACAUCUUCAGAUGUACUGGAGAUAAAAGAGACUUUACCAAAAGCAUGUAGAGAUCUACUUUUUUUGGAUUGCACUGAACCAUCUGUGAGCCUUCCAAGGAUUUCUCCUGGCAGAAACCGGCUAGGCCUUAAUCCUCGUGCU